CUUGUGUUUAAGUCAUAGAGUUUGCUUAGGAGUUGCAAAAUUGUAAUUUUGAAUUUUCUUUGGAUUUUUCACGCGAGAAGUUUAUUGUUUUGGUGAUGGCAAUGAAUUUCAUUUUUUAUUGGUUGGAGAGCUGAGCGUUGUGAGUAUUUUGAUGUAUUUUUGAGUUUUGUCACGAAAUUGCCAAAGGGGGAGAUUGUUACGGAUUUUAUGUUGGCAUAUUUCGUGAAGUAAGUCAGAGUCUUGAAAGUUUGAAGAAGAAGAGAUGAAGAUCGAAGACUCGAAGACUCAAAACAUGAAUGCACAAUGCUCGGUAAGUUUAAAUACUAUUGAUGAUGAUUUAUAAAUGUUUAAAAGUGUUUGGAAGACUUAGGAUGGUUUUAAAAUAUGAAUU
This 391-nucleotide long non-coding RNA is filed under the name Ananas comosus (pineapple). RNAcentral describes it as "long non-coding RNA (ACOM_LNC043950)". The record is from RNAcentral. Lineage: Eukaryota; Viridiplantae; Streptophyta; Magnoliopsida; Poales; Bromeliaceae.